AUGACAGAAGUGGACACUGACGACACAUGUAGCGUAGCCAGAUCAGAUGAUACUGCCAGAUCAGAAGUGGAAAGUCGGGGAGAUCCUGACGAAAUGCCAUCUUCAGGUGGAAGCAGUUUUCGACCAGUAGCCCCUGAACCUCUUGUGACAAGUAGUAGACUCAGUGUUCCUCAGUCCCCAACUCGCAUCGAUGUCUCCAGUAACAGAAAUACUACUCGCGUUGAUUAUCGUAGACGCACUUUAGAAUUUGUCGAUACAACUCGUCAUAAUCAUCCUUAUCAUUCCAGGCCAAGUUUUGUUGCGGCCAACCAAAAUGAAAAUGCAAAUAAAUUGAUUCAUGUAAUCGAUAAAAUGGAAAAGCUGUGUGACCCAAAAUCUGUUCCAAUGACAAGCGUCAGUGAGCCUGUGCAUACCUCAAGCACUAGUGGGAAUUCGACAAGCCCUGUUUUAGCAGGACCCUCAUUAAUUCAAGGAGGCUCUGGAGGGCAAGCAUCUUCUCUACUGCCCACAAGUCUGUUCAAAGCUCCAAACUGCAGCAGCAACUCCUCAGCAAACCUUCCGCAAGCACAAUCAGGAGAAACACAGGCAGUUCCUGCCAGUAGUGGAAAUGUUAUUUCAUUGAAAACCAAUCACCAGGCGUAUCGAUCACAAACCUCAUCAAGCCAGGAUGUGUCGAUAGAUGACCCAGAAUCCACAGGUGUUUGUGUUAGCACAACAAGUCUGGCAUCAACCAGUAGUAGUGGCAGUAGCACUGGUAAUCGCCCCAAAAUGCAUAAUGACCUUUGUGCCUCGCGUCCGAGUCCUGUUCCGAACGGUUCUAUCUUGACUAUGGAUGAAAGAACUCCAACUAAAGAAGUCGCACCCAAACCAACAGGCGCUAUUCCACGAAGCAUCAGUUUUGAUAAAACUGCUGAGCGAGGUGAUAAGGACCUUGAUGAUGACAGCAAACACAAAAGAGGAAGCUUUUUCCAAAAAUUCCGACUUCCCUUCAAAAAUCGGCGUGGGAAAGGUUUCCGUGGAGGAAUUGAAGAGACGAGUAUCUGUAAUUUUGACGGAAAUACAACUGCAAUCAUAGAGGGUGAGAACUUAGUCAGAGUUCGCCUACGAAGAGGUGCCCCAGAGGAUAUAAAAUCAACUCAAAACGACACCUCUGAGGAUAUUCUGGCUAAAUACCGAUCCAAGUCAAGCAAUUUGCAGGAUGCAGCAAGCGAAGGAGCAAGUAGCAAAUCUGGUGGAAGCAUGAAUCGAUUUCAGAGUAUUGAAAGAUCAGGCAGUGAAGACGAAGGAACAAAUCCAGACUCAGACCUAUCAAUCUUUGAUGACACCAAGAAAAAAUUACGAUUUGUAUUAAGCUCUGCUGAAAUUCAGUAUCUUCCUUGGAACAAUGAGCAUAAUAUUCCUGUCAUUAGAAAUGCUUGGAGUUGCAAAGAUAAUGAGUUGGUAGGCUUUCUCCAGUUGCAAUUAGCUGAAGCCCUGAAUCUUCAGGAUCGAUCUCUUAUAGCGCAUUUACAUGAGACUCUUCGCCGAUUAAGACUUUUGAUGGAGAUGGGUUAG
Molecule: long non-coding RNA, 1554 nt
Filed under: Bemisia tabaci
Lineage: Eukaryota; Metazoa; Arthropoda; Insecta; Hemiptera; Aleyrodidae
Description: lncRNA ENSSSA2NGG004394
Source: RNAcentral